Molecule: ribosomal RNA, 469 nt
Filed under: Doratura homophyla
Lineage: Eukaryota; Metazoa; Arthropoda; Insecta; Hemiptera; Cicadellidae
Description: partial large subunit ribosomal RNA
Source: RNAcentral
AAGGUAUAUCCUGCCCUAUGGAUUUUCUAAAUGGCUGCAGUAUUUUGACUGUACAAAGGUAGCAUAGUAAUUAGUUUCUUAAUUAGGAACUUGUAUGAAUGGAUUUAUGAGAUAUAUGUUUUAUUUAUUUAAAUAUUAAAAUUUUAAUUUUAGGUUAAAAUGCCUAAUAGAUUUCUUGGGACGAUAAGACCCUAUAGAACUUUAUAUUUAUAUAAAAAAUUUCUUUUAAAUUUUUAUAUUAAAUUUUUUGUUUAAAUAUUUUGCUGGGGUGGUUAGUAAAUUUUAACUUUACUUUGAUUUUUCAUAAAUAUAUGUUAUUUUUGAUCCUUUACAAGAUUAUAAGAACAAGUUACCUUAGGGAUAACAGCGUAAUUUUAGUGGGGAGUUCAUAUCUAUACUAAUUUUGCGACCUCGAUGUUGAAUUAAGAAAAAUCUAAGAAGCAGAACUCUUAGUUUUAAGUCUGUUCGA